AGAUGUCCUCCUGGCAGGGACUUCUUGGCCACCUCAGCCAGCACUCCCAAUCCCAGGCCGACAGCCAGUCCUGGGGAGUAAGAGAGAAGGCCUCUGCUAGGCCCAUCCUUAUGGAACAUUUGGGCCCAAGAACCCCCACAUGGCCCCUGCAAGAAAAGUGGAUAUUGGGGCCACAAAAGGAAGAGUCCAGGAAAAACUAUUUGCCCUCUGGGUGCUGGCUUCCAAUGAGGGGACAAUAAACAAAAUAAAUGAGAAAACUGAGGCUCUGAGGAGACAAGACUGUGGGGAAAGAUCAUCCCAAAAGUGACUGUUGGAGCCAGGAUUUGAAAACAGGCAUCCUCGCUUUGCCUUUACAUAAAUUCUUUCGCUGCUCUGGUUCUUAA
Molecule: long non-coding RNA, 383 nt
Organism: Panthera uncia (snow leopard)
Lineage: Eukaryota; Metazoa; Chordata; Mammalia; Carnivora; Felidae
Exons: 4
Source: RefSeq, a predicted model, not a curated record